RNAcentral lists this ribosomal RNA (465 nucleotides) under Vreelandella stevensii. RNAcentral describes it as "partial 16S ribosomal RNA". It matches the Rfam family "Bacterial small subunit ribosomal RNA", at positions 338 to 795 of the family's 1533-position model. The record is from RNAcentral. Lineage: Bacteria; Pseudomonadati; Pseudomonadota; Gammaproteobacteria; Oceanospirillales; Halomonadaceae.
CCUACGGGAGGCUGCAGUGGGGAAUAUUGGACAAUGGGCGAAAGCCUGAUCCAGCCAUGCCGCGUGUGUGAAGAAGGCCUUCGGGUUGUAAAGCACUUUCAGUGGGGAAGAAAGCCUUGGGGCUAAUACCCUCGAGGAAGGACAUCACCCACAGAAGAAGCACCGGCUAACUCCGUGCCAGCAGCCUCGGUAAUACGGAGGGUGCGAGCGUUAAUCGGAAUUACUGGGCGUAAAGCGCGCGUAGGCGGUCUGAUAAGCCGGUUGUGAAAGCCCCGGGCUCAACCUGGGAACGGCAUCCGGAACUGUCAGGCUAGAGUGCAGGAGAGGAAGGUAGAAUUCCCGGUGUAGCGGUGAAAUGCGUAGAGAUCGGGAGGAAUACCAGUGGCGAAGGCGGCCUUCUGGACUGACACUGACGCUGAGGUGCGAAAGCGUGGGUAGCAAACAGGAUUAGAUACCCCAGUAGUC